Molecule: long non-coding RNA, 309 nt
Organism: Mangifera indica (mango)
Lineage: Eukaryota; Viridiplantae; Streptophyta; Magnoliopsida; Sapindales; Anacardiaceae
Exons: 2
Source: RefSeq, a predicted model, not a curated record
UUCAUUAUCAGUGGGAUAACGUCCUUUCUAGUUGAAUAUAUUACUUUAAAUUAAAUUUAAGAGUUUCUUUCAUCAUGUCAAAGCUUUUUUUUUUUUUUAAGCGUAGACGCACUUAAACUGCAACUGGGAAAACUUAAAAAAAAAAAUAAUAAUUAAAUAAAGAAAGCUACAGAAUAUUCACAGUACAAUAUUUUCAGGUCAGUACUUUAAAAUAGGCACUUUGAAUUCCCGGUAAAAGUUUCUUUUAGAUAAGAGUAAGGAGUGAUAGCUGCACAAGGUUCUAUCGUAUUUAAAGAUGAGGCAAGCCAA